GACGAACGCUGGCGGCGUGCCUAAUACAUGCAAGUAGAACGCUGAAGCGAGGAGCUUACUCUUCUUGGAUGAGUUGCGAACGGGUGAGUAACGCGUAGGUAACCUGCCUUGUAGCGGGGGAUAACUAUUGGAAACGAUAGCUAAUACCGCAUAACAAUGGAUGACACAUGUCAUUUAUUUGAAAGGGGCAAUUGCUCCACUACAAGAUGGACCUGCGUUGUAUUAGCUAGUAGGUGAGGUAAUGGCUCACCUAGGCGACGAUACAUAGCCGACCUGAGAGGGUGAUCGGCCACACUGGGACUGAGACACGGCCCAGACUCCUACGGGAGGCAGCAGUAGGGAAUCUUCGGCAAUGGGGGCAACCCUGACCGAGCAACGCCGCGUGAGUGAAGAAGGGUUUCGGAUCGUAAAGCUCGGUUGUAAGUCAAGAACGGGUGUGAGAGUGGAAAGUUCACACUGUGACGGUAGCUGACCAGAAAGGGACGGCUAACUACGUG
RNAcentral lists this ribosomal RNA (497 nucleotides) under uncultured bacterium. RNAcentral's name for it is "partial 16S ribosomal RNA". It matches the Rfam family "Bacterial small subunit ribosomal RNA", at positions 28 to 507 of the family's 1533-position model. The record is from RNAcentral.